RNAcentral lists this ribosomal RNA (253 nucleotides) under uncultured bacterium. RNAcentral describes it as "partial 16S ribosomal RNA". It matches the Rfam family "Bacterial small subunit ribosomal RNA", at positions 524 to 776 of the family's 1533-position model. The record is from RNAcentral.
UACGAAGGGGGCUAGCGUUGCUCGGAAUCACUGGGCGUAAAGCGCACGUAGGCGGGUCUUUAAGUCAGGGGUGAAAUCCUGGAGCUCAACUCCAGAACUGCCUUUGAUACUGAGGAUCUCGAGUCCGGGAGAGGUGAGUGGAACUCCGAGUGUUGAGGUGAAAUUCGUAGAUAUUCGGAAGAACACCAGUGGCGAAGGCGGCUCACUGGCCCGGUACUGACGCUGAUGUGCGAAAGCGUGGGUAGCAAACAGG